Molecule: long non-coding RNA, 190 nt
Organism: Papaver somniferum (opium poppy)
Lineage: Eukaryota; Viridiplantae; Streptophyta; Magnoliopsida; Ranunculales; Papaveraceae
Exons: 3
Source: RefSeq, a predicted model, not a curated record
GGAAAUUGGUUUCAUCAAGUCAGUCAAUUGCGCUUAACUGAAAAGAAUAACAAAGAAUGGAUAAAUCCUGGAUGAGUACUGAUAGAACGAAAAAACGCUAUAGAGAAGGAGUCGCGGCGUUUCUGCGGUAUGCUGUCAACCAUGUCAAGGAGGAGGGUGAUACAUUUGAUGAAUUUCUUAUGCUAUGUCC